GGGAUUGCCCCAGUAACGGCGAGUGAAGCGGCAACAGCUCAAAUUUGAAAUCUGGCCCCCCCCCCGGGGGGCCCGAGUUGUAAUUUGCAGAGGAUGCUUUGGGCGAGGCGCCUUCCGAGUUCCCUGGAACGGGACGCCACAGAGGGUGAGAGCCCCGUCUGGUCGGACGCCGAGCCUCUGUAAAGCUCCUUCGACGAGUCGAGUAGUUUGGGAAUGCUGCUCAAAAUGGGAGGUAUAUGUCUUCUAAAGCUAAAUACCGGCCAGAGACCGAUAGCGCACAAGUAGAGUGAUCGAAAGAUGAAAAGCACCUUGAAAAGGGGGUUAAACAGUACGUGAAAUUGUUGAAAGGGAAGCGCUCGUGACCAGACUUGGGGCGGGCGGAUCAGCCGGCGUUCUCGCCGGCGCACUCCGCCCGUCCCAGGCCAGCAUCAGUUCGCGCCGGGGGACAAAGGCGGCGGGAACGUGGCUCCCCAGGGAGUGUUAUAGCCCGCCGCGCCAUGCCCCGGGGGCGGACUGAGGGCCGCGCAUCACUGCAAGGAUGCUGGCGUAAUGGUCACCAGCGACCCGUCUUGAAACACGGGCCAAGGAGUCGUCCUCGUAUGCGAGUGUUCGGGUGUCAAACCCCUACGCGGAAUGAAAGUGAACGUGGGUGAGAGCUUCGGCGCAUCAUCGACCGAUCCUGAUGUUCUCGGAUGGAUUUGAGUAGGAGCAUACGGGGCCGGACCCGAAAGAAGGUGAACUAUGCCUGUGUAGGGUGAAGCCAGAGGAAACUCUGGUGGAGGCUCGCAGCGGUUCUGACGUGCAAAUCGAUCGUCAAACAUGGGCAUGGGGGCGAAAGACUAAUCGAA
RNAcentral lists this ribosomal RNA (848 nucleotides) under Aschersonia sp. JZQ-2014a. RNAcentral's name for it is "eukaryotic LSU rRNA". It matches the Rfam family "Eukaryotic large subunit ribosomal RNA", at positions 71 to 939 of the family's 3401-position model. Lineage: Eukaryota; Fungi; Ascomycota; Sordariomycetes; Hypocreales; Clavicipitaceae. The record is from RNAcentral.